Long non-coding RNA from Columba livia (rock pigeon), 9376 nucleotides. RefSeq lists it as uncharacterized. The transcript is spliced from 5 exons. The record is from RefSeq and is a predicted model, not a curated record. Lineage: Eukaryota; Metazoa; Chordata; Aves; Columbiformes; Columbidae.
UACCAAAUGGAACUGGGAGGGCUGGUUCAGGUCAGAUAAUAAAAAGUCUGUCUCCCCUUGAAAUUGAAGAUUAAUUAACCAAACCUUUGUUAAGGUUUAGAAAAUGUUGGCACAGUGCUGCAAAAUUUGGGACUAAAAUUCUAGUCCUAGUGUGUUCCAUUCUGGAAAGUAACACAAUGUUUUUUUAAUUACUACAGCACACCCUAUUAUUUUAUAUGGAUGAGAAGGGUUCAAAAAGACUGGAAUGCGCUCAGCAAUAUUUUUAAAACAAUCCAAAGGCAAUGUGUAAAGAGUGAGGCGGAGCUGCAAAUCAAGGGAUUAAAAUUAGACACAUCAAAACUUAGCCUAAAAUAAGGACUGAAAGGAUGAGAACAUAGGUUGCACCAGCCAUCUUUUCUUUUGGAAAUCAGAAGAGAGAAGUUUUGCGAACAGAAACAAAUUCCUGGAGCAUCCCCUGUUGAAGACCCAGAUGGUUUCUGGCUUCUCUGCAUAGUCUUUGGACUUACAAACCAUGAGAAAUUUAAUCCAAGCGAGCAAAUUACUGAAAAACCCUGACAACCUUCAUUAGAUAAUAAGGCCAAAAUAUAUCCUUGUUUGUCUUCCUUACUGUAUCUUUCUUUGUUCCUCCCCAUGUAUGUUCCUCCUGUGCUCUUUGUUUUAGCAAGUGAGAUUUUUUAUUUUUUAUUUUUAACAAAAACUUGAGAACUGCAUGGAAUAAAACAAGCCCACAAGAAUGAGAAAGCCCGCUUCAGCCUAAAAAUGCUCACUAAAGGAAAAGCAUCCCAGCUCUGCCCCUCCUAUCACUCCUGUGCCUAAGGAGGAUACCUGUCUCCCCGUAGGAUUACAUUUACAUCUAUAUCUUCAACUGUUCUCCUGCCUUUCUUUUCAGUUUCUUAGUUCAGCUCAAGCACAGAUCGCCGAACAGUCUCCUACUUCUGGUAUUCUCACUCCAGGAAAAAAAACAGAGCUGGAUUAUGACUUCAGGACCAAACAUUGUAUGUGCACAUCAGAAAGAACCCUGAAAAGGACACUGGGCAGCUUCCCAAUUUCCAGUUCACUCUGUUUUUCCUUCCCUUCUCUUUUCCUAUUCCUUGUCUAGUAGCUGAGAGAAAAAACAUUGAUUCCUAUAAACCUUUGCUAUUUGUCCUGUUCCAUCUGUGCACAACUGAACAUCCCGUGAGAGGGAAGAGAUCCACCUCCCUCUCUCCUCUGCAGACACAGACAGCAAAGUGACUUCACAAACCCGUUCCACUUUGAUCCACCAUCAGAGAGGAUUUUAAAAGGGUGUUUGUGUCCAUGGAAACAGCAGGGAGGGAGCUUCUUCAUAUGGCCCAGUGUAAUGAAAAUUGGCACAUGCAUUUCUUGCAUGAGCAAGAAGACUCACCACAGAAGAAGAAUGAUUUGGAAGAUCAAAAUUACUCAGAAAGGGAACAUGGAAGUUUUCUCCCAAAUUAAGAAAAAAAAAAAAAAAAGUGGAGAAUGUGUUAUGAUUCUUUAUCACAACAUCAUCAUACUUUCACAACUAUUCCAUAUAUUUCUUUGUAGGUAUGGCUAUGGAUAAGCUAAGUGGGAAAAUAAGGCAUGCAGAGGCCUUUUCAUUGCUGUAUACUUCAGGCAUUUAUUUUCAGUGACUAUUGACUUGGGCAAGAUUUCAAAGAAUGAAUUAGACCCCAGCUUUGCAAAGGAUGCACUAGCACUGUUUAAAUUGUUGGUCAUUAGUAAUUUUUGCUAUACAGUCCUAGUUUUAUUUCCUCAUAUUUUUUGCUUCCCCCUUAAAGCAGCAGUAUUUUGCCACCCUUCUUGGAGGAGAUAAUGAUGAAAUUAAUCCAGUUAUUGAAUUGCCACUCUCUGGAAAGAUCAUUUCACAUAUGGGGAGAAGUGGGAAGAAAUCAAUCUGCUCAUCGAUUGAUUGAAGGUGAAAGCUGAGGUUAGGAAAUUGAAACUUCCAUGUAGAAACAGCGCGGAAGCAUUCAUCCUGCACAACAGGCAAUAAACUGGCUCAUAUGUGAGACUUACGUUCUACAGCCAGUACUGCUGUGACUAGUUUGCAAGUCUCUUUACCUGAAAGUGUAGAGAUUUCCACAGGUGUACACUGGAGACAGAAUCCUUCACACAAGUACUGCUGUUACAUGAAGCCCAUUCAGGCAGGAAUGCUCUCCAGCAAUGCCACCAGGACAAAGAGCCACAUACAGAUCUCUUGGGGAGCCACCACGUGUUUAUGAUAAUGUCUACACUUCUUAUUUCUUAACAUUGUGGAUAAAGGCCAUGACUGUCCCCAUGAGAGACUUCUAAAGGAAAGAGUUAUCUGUUAAAACCUGAAAGGUGUUGAGUGAAAUGAACUGCCGAGUCUGAAACACGCUGCUGAAGGAGAGGUGGUCUGGGGCAGAGGGAAGCCUGCGCUGGCAAAAACUGGUAGAAUCUUUUAGCUCCUAUGUCUGACUUGUUAAAAUGUCACGUCAGUCUGUGGUCCCAGGGUAACAACAGUUACAGCCCAGACAAGAAGGAAAAAAGGUCUGCAGAACUCUUCAGGAGGGUUGCGCCUGCCAAGCGAGGCUCCUAGUCUGAGCUACAGAUACAAGUUCAGUGGGAACCAGAGACACCAUCCACUCAUGUCACAGUGGCAACUAAAGAGCCUUCAAAUUAUAGACUGGAGUUACUAGUGAACUUGAAAGUAAAUUAACCUGUUCCAAACCUAGAAGAAAAUGUUACUUUUUGAGUUGUAAAGCCCCCAGAUGAAUUCAUUUGGUGACUUUUUUUUGCUGCGAGGGAGCAGUUAACUUUGCCUGAGUUUACUCAUCUGUGUAAUGAGGCUGAUGAUACUUAGAAGUAUAUCCCCCAGCAGCUUGGCAAUGAUCUUUUAAAAUGGCACAAUGCUGAAAAAUGGUAAUUAUAAUCAUCCCUACCACUGUGCCCACCCCAAGUAAUUAUCACAUUGCAGAAAAAAAGUACUUGUAUUGGAAUAACAGCACUAUUUAUUUAUGAAGAUAUUGUUUUCUACAUAUGUCUCAGUCUUCUCCAAAUAUAAAAACAUGGUGAGCUGAAGUUGUUCCAUAUUUAUCCAGUUUUGAAUUUUAAUGAGCAAGAAUGCCAUAAGUUCAUGAAAUUUUUAAAACCGGAAGAUGAAUUAGAUUAAUCAACUUCACAGCCCUUUGUGUUCUGGCAAAAGGUAUUGUGCAAACUUUUAGGUAAAUAAUGUUUAAUUUAAUUAUUUAGCUGUAUAGUGCAUCCAUUUCAGCACAAGAGAGAUAGUGAUUAAAAUGCAGAGGCUGCGAAUGCUAAUGCCACUACACAAAUAGCACUAGAACAGGCUGCCCAGGGAAGCAGUUGAGUCACCAUCCCUGGAGGUGUUUAAAAGAUGAGGCUCUUAAGAACAUGGUUUAGUGCUAGAGUUAGGUUAUGGUUGAACUCAAUUAUUAAGGGUCUCUUCCAAACAAAAUGAUUCUAUGGUUGUAAUUUUUCAACAUUUUCUUAAGCAAUCGCAUUUUAAAAUGUAUAAACUACCCCAAUUUUGCUGAAAAGUCUGUAUUCAAAUUUAGAGGUAUCGAAGAUCAUCUUAAAACACACAUGUAGUUCCUUCUUCUUUAGUGGUUUCAUACUCCUGUCCUAGAGAGGCAAGAAACUAAACUAAUAUUGCAGCUUUUUUAAGUUCAGUGCGAUUGUUAGCAGAUUCAGUAGCUAAUGAGAAGAAUAAAGCUGCAAAUAAAGGGAAAACUGGGCUACGGGCAGACUCAAAGGCUGGAAUAGCAGAGAACACAGAAGGUGAGGAGUGCUCUACUCCAUUAAACACAUCAGGAGCAUGAAGGUUAAAAAAACCCCAUGUAUUUUAGACUGGUAGCAAAUGUGGGUUUACAGGGGGAAGUGUGACAGGGGACUGGAACAACCACUGGCACUGCCCAGUGCUGCACGGAUGGCACAUCACAUCCGAGGGGUGGCUGCCAUGCUGGCCAGUCCUCCACCCUCUGCCUGCCUGCUGCCCACUGCCUGCCUGCUGCCUGCCCACUGCCUGCUCAUUGCCCACUGCCUGCCCACUGCCUGCUCAUUGCCCACUGCCUGCCCACUGCCUACUGCCUGCCCGCUGCCUGCUCGUUGCCCACCGCCUGCCCACUGCCCACUGCCUGCCUGCUGCCUGCCUGCAGGGCUGGGCCAGCACUGCGCAUCAACCUACUCAGAUGGUGGGCAUGGCACAGCAGUGCAGGCUGGCACUAUCAUUGUUUCAUGCACAGCCAGGAAAAGCACAUGGGAGCAUUCAGCAUGAAGCUGCUCUAGAAAAGCUGUUUCAGUGAAUGAGCUGUAAAAUUUCUGGGGUCUAGCACAGGAAGAAUAUAGCUUUUCAUUGUGCCUUCUGUCUUCAGCCUCAGUCCAGCCCCUUCUCUUUUAUAAGCAUGAUAUCCACUCAUUAAAUCCUAACUAAAAUUAAACUCUUAAACUCCCUCCUCUUCACCUGACUCUCCAGCUGCCCAGGUUCUCACAUCACUUUCAGCCCUUCCCAAUUCCUCCCUGCAUCCUCAUUUCCCCACCAAGGUGAGAGACCCUGAAGGCUUUGCUGCCAAAAGCCCUGCCUCUUAGAACAUUUUAAUAGUUCUCUCACAUUCUGUUAUUUUUAGAUGCCAAGCCAGAAGUUUCACUGCACAAGAAAAGAAACCAAUUUACAGUUUCGUGUAGAAACACAGCCACUUUCAGUUCAUUUGUUUUCCAUCUUGAUUAUCAACACGUUUGUCAUUUCUCUGUAAUUUAUUCAUUAUCUUUAGUCGAGGAAAGUGAAAAGGAGGGAUAGGAGAGAAGAAGGAGAUAAGUGCACUUGUCAAAAUGUGAAGCAGAUGCUCUAACAAUGAUUGGAGACAAUUAAUGUUCUCAGUAAGUAUCAACAGGCAAGGUCUGUGGAUUGCUUCACAUUUUUGCAGCAAACAGCCUUCUGGAAGAUGCAAAUACAGAGGCUUUGUUUUCGAGGCACGUGAGAGCAUGUCUUGUUUGUAAUGAGAUGUCCUAAGAAACUUCACAUUGCUGCUUGAAAUUGUGGCUGUUCCGAUCAUCACUGGCCUAAAUAAUAACACAGCAACGAAGGGGGAACUGUAUGGCUGGUAACAGAACUAACGAACCUGUCACCGCUCCCUCCUCCCGGCUCAGGCUCAGCAUGCAAAGCAAAGCAUUUAACACGUGUUUAACCUUGAGUUACUCAAAGUCAAUAGCACAUAAGCAUGUACUUAAAGCUGAGCACAUACUUUGCCAUUGCCAGGGUAGGCAUGUAACCAGCAAAGAUCUUUGCUGCACUGGGGUGCUUUGUCUCUUGCUGAGGAGUGACCCUCGUGAGUCAGCCCUCAUGGGAAGGACGCUCAUCUGCUCUCCCAUCAAGCACCAAAGAAACACAGUAGAGCCAAGGAGUUAGCAUCAGGCUUCAGUCUAUAUCAAUUUGGGGAAUGCUGCUGCAAAAGCCAAUUGCAAUAAAUAAAUAUAAUAAGACAGAAAAAAAAUCAAUAACAAAUAGAUGUGAUCUAAUUACUAACAUUUGUAAUAAUAGUUUAUUGUUCUAUGCCACGUGUAGCUUUCAUCUUCUCUCUCUGCACUCUGUCAGUUGAAUUUUCCCUUCUGCUGUUCUGUUAUCUAAAAUGAUCAAACACCUACCAUGCCCUGGAAAGUAUACCAAUUAAGAGCUGCAUUUAAAUCUACUUGAAUGUGCCUGUCACAAAGUUAAUUGGAAUAAACACAUAUUUGAUAUUAUAUUGUUUGAAUUCUGCUCCAAGCCAGGCUAUCAUCCAUCACAAUCUUUCGUUAUACUCAUUUGUAUUCUUCUUCUUCUCACUUUUCCUCCUUUUAUUUUGUUAUUGACGGUGUAAUGAUAGCAGACACCAACCUGAGAGGUUCUUUGUCUUCCACUCCAUUCUCCCCAGCAACCUCUCUCUGCCAGCUGGGCAGGAAGAGCAGGAGCAUGAACAGGGCAUCUGCAGAAUCACAUAUCCUCUGGAGAACGCACACACCUUGGGAAAGGGGAUUUCUUCACCAGGGACCCAGACUUUGACCCUCACAUUUAAAAACCAACAAUGAGCCUAUCAAAAGGUCUGUUAUACACAACAUACGGCAAUGAGUUCUGUGUCAAACAUAAAAUAGUACUUUUUUACAUGACAUGAAAAAUAUCACUUUUUUUCUGUUUGCCUUAAUCCUGCUAUCACGUCUAUUACAAACAUGAGAAAAAAUACAUCAGCCAGAUCAGACCACAACCAGAGCUUACUUAAUGGCAGUCAGCAAAUACUCUUCAUUUUCUUUUCAGUGCAAUGAUUUCAGCGCAGCUAGGCAUCAGUACCACAGGAAUUUCAGGCAGUGUGCAUGUUAGUCUAUGGCCACUAGAGUUCCAUAAACUCUUGAGAGAUUCACAACAAUUGGUAAGAAAAAUUGGUGUCUGCAGCAACAAGAGCACUAAAGUUUGAUCAGCAUGUAAAUCGAUCACUGCUUGAGAAAAGCAUGGCACAACAAAAAUCCUUAUUGUUCUCUUGUUACUGGGGUUUGGGUCUUAGGGGUUUUGUGAGGUGAUAAGAUUAUCCUAAUCUGAAAGGAGCCAGCAUGCUAAUUUUCCUCUCUAGUGCCUCAUCUUCUGGAAUGAAUCAGCUAUCCAAACGCAUGGCUGAUUAAACUGCAUUGCUAUCACUGGACCUAUAUCAGGAACAAAUUUGAUUCAGGGGAUGUAUUAUCUGUUUAAAUGCUGGGGUAAGACAUUUUUAACUAUGCAGAUGUGACUUAAAAAUAUUUACAGGGAAGCUAUCUGGGAAAGGAAAGAGUAAAGUUUUUCCCAGUCAUCGUGCAUAUGGGGCAUCCAUGCAUGGCAUGCAAUAUGAAAUCAGAGUGAAAAAAUGCACCUCAUCACUCAUAAAGAACAUAGCAGUUCCUCUUCAUGCAUGAAAUGUGUAUUUCUUCUCUAAUGGUAGUUCAAGUAUUGAGGUAAUCUAUUUUUCGUUUUCAGCACAGACACAUUUAUUAGCAGAGUUAAUAAGACAGUCUUUGUCAGAACAUAUUGUCUGUUGUCAAAAUCUAAGGAUUAACAUUGUAUUGCAUGUCUGAAUAGAAUUACUUUCCCAUAAGAUUUGCUAUACCAAGUUAGUUACAUGGUCCAGUAGGUCUGGUACCCUGCCAGAUAGCAAUAAAUAAAUGGGAAAUAAAUAAAAUUUCAGAGAAAAGUUUAAUUCUAGGAUGCCAUCUCACUCCAACAUGCAUUAUGUACCUUGAUAAUUGUUGCAGUACAGCAUGUGGAAGGAAACAUUUCCUUACGACCUUUGUAGGCAAUUAGUUUGUGCCCUGAAACCUGGCAUUUGACUACCCUUAUCUGCCAAGCAUUGAUGCAAACGCCAUUAUCAGAGAUUCUUUCAGGGUUACAAUGGCUUAUCACACCUCACAUUAGGAUAAGGGAACAGUAAAGCAUUCAGAACCCUCAGCAGUAAUCCAGAUGAAUUAGAUUUCAGUAAUAAGAGCUUGAUAAAGUAGCAUGUUCUCCUACCCCAAAUCACUCAUAUAUAUGUAGAGUCUAAUAACUAAUUAUCUUAGAUUCUCAGAAGAUUAUUUUUCUGGGAAUCUGUCAACAGCAAUUUUCUUUUAGAUGUGGUCCUAGCUUCUCAGAUAUAGUCAGUUCAUGGUUUCCAGACAUUUGGUAAAUGCCCAGAGGAAGGGUUUUUUUUAAUGUCAUGUGCCUCCCUCAGCCUGAACAAAUUAACUGUUACAAACACGGAAAAUAUCCAUUUUGCCACAUUGUUGAACUGUUCAAAUCUUUCCAUUUGGAAGAUUAGAAACAAUCCAAUCAAACUGCUUGCCACCUGGCUACUUCACAUCAUUAUUUGCAGUGGAAUUAAAUAAAAUGAUCAUUUCCAAUUUGAAAAUAGAAGUGGAAAACAAUUAUGUGACCUGGAUGGCCUUUUAAUUAGUGCUCUGUGUUCGCCGAAACACAACCGGUUUGAUUUUUGUGCUGAGUUUCUGCUCCUAAAAGUGGAAAGUGCUGUGGGGUGUCCUGGAGAGCUCCUGGGGGAGAAAGGGGGGGGGUGCAGGGGAAGCCAGGAGGAUUGGGUUUUUUUACCCCACAGCAUCCCCUACUGUUUCUUUUGGAAACGGUACUGAUUCACACAGCAGGCACUCUCCCUCGGUCCCCAGCCACGAGGAGAAGGGCAGGGCAGGUCCCAGGGCUUGUCAGCAGACCUGGAGGGGUAGGAGUGGGAAAAUGUAAAGAUUUAGUUUUCCCAGGAGACUCACGGGUGACUCUUCAUGGGAAAACUAAUGCCCCAGUAAUUCAAAAUAGCGCAUGUUUCGGUACCAUAAAAAUCUCAAUGCCUAACGGGAGUAGCAGUUUUCUAAGGAGCCUCCACCACUGCAAGAGACACUUGGUAACUUAACACACCGUCUGAAGCCAUAGCAGUGUCUCCCAGUGAGCUCUAUUCCCUUGCAGAAGAUUUGGCCAUGUUUCUUUCAGUUAUGUGACAGCUGCCAGCCCCAAAUCAGUAUCCAGGUGUGUACAGAAAAAAUGAGUCUUUGAGUGCACUUGGGAUUGUUUUGUUUUGUAAAAAGCCGUAUGCCUACUCAAAAAUUUGGAACAUUUCUGAAUGCUUUAAUACUGACAUACACAUGCAGAAAAUCCUUUUCUCCCAAAGGAAUGUGUAAAUGCAACUUCGAAUUUGCAUUUAGAGGGGUAUUGAAUUUUUUCUUUAGCUAUGAACAAAAAUUUGUAAAAUAUAUAUGCAAGUGGAGGUAAGGGGUCUGAAUACACAUUUACUGAUUUCUCUACAUCUUACUUUCCUUACUUAUUAAACUGGGUUAACAGUAGUUCUGCACCUCCCAGGAGUGUUAGGAAACCUUACUCAUUAAAGUUUGUAUAGUAUUUCGAGAUCCUUGAUGGCAGAUGCUAUAUAAGUGCAGAAACACAUCACUUGAUAAAUAUGAAUGGCAAUUCACUCAAAGGCUUAACAGUGUUCAGAAAGGGAGUAACUGAAGAAUAUCAAAUGCUGCAGGCUCAAAUGAAAGUGAGCUCAUCAAAAUAAAUGAUUUACCAGAGGCUUCUAAGCGCCUUGCUUCCUACAGAUGAGACGAAGAGUUCAUCCCCUUCUCUGCUCAGCAACAGAGAAUAAGCCAUAGCAUUGCACAUCACAAACAGUGAUUCUAGCAUUCUUCUCUGUUGGAGAGUUUCCCUUUAUUGUAUAGCCCCAUAAACUGAUGAAUUGAGGUCAGAGUGGUUCAUGUUAUCACUCUAAGUAUAGAAAAGAACUUGUGCCAAACGUGGAAAACAAACAAACAUUCAUCAUGAAAAAGGUCUCAAGGACAGUGAUAUCUGUGAGUAUUGUCUCUUCCCUCUAUUUGCUAUUGCAAACAAAAGAAAAAGCUUGUGGAGGGGAAAAAAAAAAAAAAAAUAAUA